RNAcentral lists this ribosomal RNA (352 nucleotides) under uncultured bacterium. Its description in RNAcentral is "bacterial SSU rRNA". It matches the Rfam family "Bacterial small subunit ribosomal RNA", at positions 8 to 350 of the family's 1533-position model. The record is from RNAcentral.
AGAGUUUGAUCAUGGCUCAGGAUGAACGCUAGCUACAGGCUUAACACAUGCAAGUCGAGGGGAAACGAUAUUGGAAGCUUGCUUCCGAUAGGCGUCGACCGGCGCACGGGUGAGUAACGCGUAUCCAACCUGCCCACCACUUGGGGAUAACCUUGCGAAAGUAAGACUAAUACCCAAUGAUAUCUCUAGAAGACAUCUGAAAGAGAUUAAAGAUUUAUCGGUGAUGGAUGGGGAUGCGUCUGAUUAGCUUGUUGGCGGGGUAACGGCCACCAAGGCGACGAUCAGUAGGGGUUCUGAGAGGAUGAACGGCCACACUGGAACUGAGACACGGUCCAGACUCCUACGGGAGGCA